Molecule: ribosomal RNA, 31 nt
Filed under: Purpureocillium lilacinum
Lineage: Eukaryota; Fungi; Ascomycota; Sordariomycetes; Hypocreales; Ophiocordycipitaceae
Also listed under: 23 other names
Description: partial 18S ribosomal RNA
Source: RNAcentral
CUCCGUUGGUGAACCAGCGGAGGGAUCAUUA